RNAcentral lists this ribosomal RNA (506 nucleotides) under uncultured bacterium. Its description in RNAcentral is "bacterial SSU rRNA". It matches the Rfam family "Bacterial small subunit ribosomal RNA", at positions 40 to 518 of the family's 1533-position model. The record is from RNAcentral.
CGGCGUGCCUAAUACAUGCAAGUCGAACGGUCUUUCUAUGGAAGCUUGCUUCCACUGAGAAGAUAGCGGCGAACGGGUGAGUAACACGUGGGUAACCUGCCCAUAAGAGGGGGAUAACAUCCGGAAACGGGUGCUAAUACCGCAUAGUUUUCUUGAUCGCAUGAUUGAGAAAGGAAAGACGGCCUUUGUGCUGUCGCUUAUGGAUGGACCCGCGGCGUAUUAGUUAGUUGGUGAGGUAACGGCUCACCAAGACGAUGAUACGUAGCCGACCUGAGAGGGUGAUCGGCCACAUUGGGACUGAGACACGGCCCAAACUCCUACGGGAGGCAGCAGUAGGGAAUCUUCCGCAAUGGACGAAAGUCUGAUGGAGCAACGCCGCGUGAGUGAAGAAAGGGUUUUCGGAUCGUAAAACUCUGUUGUCAGAGAAGAACAAGUUGGAGAGUAACUGCUCCAGCCUUGACGGUAUCUGACCAGAAAGCCACGGCUAACUACGUGCCAGCCGCAGC